Long non-coding RNA from Gallus gallus (chicken), 1126 nucleotides. The record is from Ensembl. Lineage: Eukaryota; Metazoa; Chordata; Aves; Galliformes; Phasianidae.
GGGCUCACGUGUCCCACAUCAAGGAGGCAAUUUCCUUUACAACAGCUCUGGCUGUGCGAGCCUCAAUACCAGCAGUCAUCUUAGUUUUCAGGAUCGGCGGACUACAAAGAAAGACGAAAGAGAACAACUGAACGCCAUUCCCUUCCCCCCGGCUCAGCCUGGCACAGAACUGCCCGGCUUCUCCCCGCUUGCUCUGCCGCCAGCCGAGGGGAUGCUGAGCUCAGGGGGACUCCGGUUGUGGAUGAAGCAGAAGGGAUUCGACAGAGAGAGAACUGCUCCUUUCUACCCCUCUAAAGCUCCUAAGAACGGUGCUCAGAGCCAUCCUCGGCCAUCUCGGCUGCUGUGCUGUUGGGAGGCUGUGUAGCACCCCGGGUCCCUCCUGUUUGCAGUCUGCGCCACGGAGUCAGAAAGGCUCUCCAUAACCAAAAGAGGAGGGUGGAAGAGACCACAUUCAGGCUUAAAAUCUCGUGUUCUACUCAGCUGUGACAGCACAAACCACCUUGGCAGUGUUUUUUCUCCCCUGGAUUCAAUAUUCUGGACCUGCAGCAGCUCUGCAGAGGGUCCUGGAGCGAACCGAUGGCAUUGGGAGUUUGCUCCUGGCCAGCCCAGAUUGCCUCCAUCUACCAAACCUCAUCCCAGUGGUCUCUCCUGAAGCUCAUGUUUGCCACCCAUGGAGCCACAGUAAUCAUUCGGUGCAGCCAAGAGCAUCACAGCGAUGCUGUAUCCAUCCUGAGCUGCAGCGGUGGCUGUCCUUUCCCCAGCAUCCCUGACCCAACCUGGGUCCUGAAUGCUCUUUGUGGUGAGGCCCCGGCACUGCCCAGAGUUGUGGGUGCCCCAUCCCUGGAAGUGCCUGAGGCCAUGGAUGGGUCCUGAGCAGCCUGAGCUGAAGGGCAGCCAGCCCUUGCCGACGUUGUCCCGCAUUUUCACUUCUCCAAAAAGAUUUAAUUAUGUCAACAAUGGCAUCGAUGAGUUACUGCGACAUUUUGAAGCCCAGCAAAAAUGGUGGUUAGAGCACUCCCAGUCAACACGCCUCCUACCACCGCAUUCCGAGUGCAGUAUUAAGGUUCAUGGAGUUCAGAAACAAACUGUUUAAUUGCUGGACACAGGAUAUAUUUUGAUCUCCUUC